RNAcentral lists this ribosomal RNA (1062 nucleotides) under uncultured Rhizaria. Its description in RNAcentral is "bacterial SSU rRNA". It matches the Rfam family "Eukaryotic small subunit ribosomal RNA", at positions 577 to 1674 of the family's 1831-position model. The record is from RNAcentral.
CGGUAAUUCCAGCUCCAAUAGCGUAUACUAAUGUUGUUGCAGUUAAAAAGCUCGUAGUCGGAUUUCAGUUUAUUGUGUGGUUGCCUGUCCCGGCUCCAUUUGAUUUGCUUCAUUGAUGCGACCUUUCCUCGGAUUCAUUUUCGGUGUUUGUUUAGCAUCUCCUUUACUUUGAGAAAAUUAGAGUGUUCAAAGCAGGUUUUCGCCUGAAUAUUACUCUUGGAAUAAUAUUAUAGGACUUUGGUUCUAAUUUGUUGGUGUAUUGGGACCGGAGUAAUGAUUAAUAGCGACGGUUGGGGUCAUUCAUACUGCAAAGCGAGAGGUGAAAUUCUUGGACCUUUGUAUGAUGAACAACUGCGAAAGCAUUUGACUAGGACGUUCGUGUUGAUCAAGAACGAAAGUUGGGGGAUCGAAGACGAUCAGAUACCGUCGUAGUCUCAACCAUAAACUAUGCCAGCUAGGGAUGGGAAGGUGUUUAUUGACAACCCUUUCUGCACCUUAUGAGAAAUCAAAGCAUUUGGGUUCCGGGGGGAGUAUGGUCGCAAGGCUGAAACUUAAAGGAAUUGACGGGAGGGCACCACCAGGAGUGGAGCCUGUGGCUUAAUUUGACUCAACACGGGAAAACUUACCAGGUCCGGACAUAGUAAGGAUUGACAGAUUGAAAGCUCUUUCUUGAUUCUAUGGGUGGUGGUGCAUGGCCGUUCUUAGUUGGUGGAGUGAUUUGUCUGGUUAAUUCCGUUAACGAACGAGACCUCAGCCUGCUAAAUAGUUCGUAUAUUUUCUAAUGUAUUUAACUUCUUAGAGGGACUACUUCGCAAAACAAGCGAGAGGAAGCUUGAGGCAAUAACAGGUCUGUGAUGCCCUUAGAUGUUCUGGGCUGCACACGGGCUACACUGGUGUAUUCAAUAAGCGUUAUCAUCUCGUUCGAAAGAACUUGAUAAUCUUUGAAUGUGCACCGUGCUUGGGAUAGACUUUUGCAAUUUUGAGUCUUCAACGAGGAAUUCCUAGUAAACGCGAGUCAUCAGCUCGCAUUGAUUACGUCCCUGCCCCUUGUACACACCGCCC